RNAcentral lists this ribosomal RNA (255 nucleotides) under Salmonella enterica subsp. enterica serovar Derby. RNAcentral describes it as "partial 16S ribosomal RNA". It matches the Rfam family "Bacterial small subunit ribosomal RNA", at positions 869 to 1123 of the family's 1533-position model. Lineage: Bacteria; Pseudomonadati; Pseudomonadota; Gammaproteobacteria; Enterobacterales; Enterobacteriaceae. The record is from RNAcentral. RNAcentral also lists the same sequence under 4 other names.
CCGCCUGGGGAGUACGGCCGCAAGGUUAAAACUCAAAUGAAUUGACGGGGGCCCGCACAAGCGGUGGAGCAUGUGGUUUAAUUCGAUGCAACGCGAAGAACCUUACCUGGUCUUGACAUCCACAGAACUUUCCAGAGAUGGACUGGUGCCUUCGGGAACUGUGAGACAGGUGCUGCAUGGCUGUCGUCAGCUCGUGUUGUGAAAUGUUGGGUUAAGUCCCGCAACGAGCGCAACCCUUAUCCUUUGUUGCCAGCG